This is a long non-coding RNA of Tupaia belangeri chinensis (Chinese tree shrew), 119 nucleotides long. RefSeq lists it as uncharacterized. The transcript has 2 exons. The record is from RefSeq and is a predicted model, not a curated record. NCBI's taxonomy places the organism in Eukaryota, Metazoa, Chordata, Mammalia, Scandentia, Tupaiidae.
UUGAUUCACCUUCUGAUGGUCGACCAGGUGUGAAUGUUGUCAACAGUUCUCAUAAAAUAAAUCUGGAAGGAGUCAGCAAUUCUACUCUGAGUGUGAGGGACACAAAGAAGAAUGAAAAU